This 380-nucleotide ribosomal RNA is filed under the name uncultured eukaryote. RNAcentral describes it as "partial 18S ribosomal RNA". It matches the Rfam family "Eukaryotic small subunit ribosomal RNA", at positions 592 to 976 of the family's 1831-position model. The record is from RNAcentral.
CAAUAGCGUAUAUUAAAGUUGUUGCGGUUAAAAAGCUCGUAGUUGGAUUUCUGCCGAGGACGUCCGGUCCACCCUCUGGGUGUGUACAUGGCACGGCCUGGGCAUCUUCUUGGGGUACGUAUCUGCACUUGACUGUGUGGUGCGGAAUCCAGGACUUUUACUUUGAGGAAAUUAGAGUGUUUCAAGCAGGCACGCGCCUUGAAUACAUUAGCAUGGAAUAAUAAGAUAGGACCUCGGUUCUAUUUUGUUGGUUUCUAGAGCUGAGGUAAUGAUUAAUAGGGAUAGUUGGGGGCAUUCGUAUUUAACUGUCAGAGGUGAAAUUCUUGGAUUUGUUAAAGACGGGCUACUGCGAAAGCAUUUGCCAAGGAUGUUUUCAUUGA